This is a long non-coding RNA of Micropterus salmoides (largemouth bass), 1167 nucleotides long. RefSeq lists it as uncharacterized. The record is from RefSeq and is a predicted model, not a curated record. The transcript has 3 exons. Lineage: Eukaryota; Metazoa; Chordata; Actinopteri; Centrarchiformes; Centrarchidae.
AUUUUAUUAUUAUUUAUGAUAAUACCUGCAUAGGUGGGGCCAGAGGAGGGAGAUGUGAGGGGCCCGCGGUGCUGCAGCUGGACCCUUUUGAACAGUGUUGUAAAACUAGCUAGCAAACAUUACCAUAGCUGUUUGUCACUCUGUGUAUUUGAUUUGAUUAUCUAGCUAACGUUAGCCAACAACGCUAGGCUGGGUUAUUUUGCUUUCAAACUAACAAACUCGUAAAAUUAUUGUGUCUUAUAGGAUUGCUGACAAUGUUUCUUGUUUCUCGCACCGGAGGCUGUCCCACUAGUGGUCACAGAUUCCCCCUUUGAGCUCGGUGGUGACACAGUGCAGGAACCCCUGCGCAGGAUGAGACAGAAAAGAUGAAGCCUCUACUGUAUAUCUUCAGCUUUGGCUGCGAGGGAAAGAUAACUGCACAAAGGCGAAGAUAUACAGAGUCCCCCGAUUCUGACAUGGACAUGGCUUUGCAAUAACCGGCCAUCAAUCUUUCUCUCUGCAGCCCCUCAGUCCACCAACACAGUCCCCCCAGGUGGCAUCUGCUUGACUCACUGCAGCCACUCGCCCGCCUUUCCUCCUUUGCUAAAUCUCCUCAGUAGCGUAUUGUACUUUAUACAGUAAUGGCUGUACUGUGGAAAGUGUGGAGGGAUAUGUUGUUGUCCAUUAAAUAUUCAACACUCUGCCUCUACAGCCAGUUUGGCAGACUUUUGGAAACAAGCAGAGCUGCUCAUAUAUAUGCCAGCCUUUUCUGAGGGUGCCCCGUAAACAGCCACUCGAGACGCCACACCAGAUCCUUAAAUUACCACACUUACUACCACACAUGUAAUUUUGACACUGAACCCCAGACCUGGGAAAUAUGAUAAAAAACAUCACAUUUGAUGUUUACAUGCAGAAGUCCUGACACUCUUAUUUUGUACAGUCUCACUUCAAGAUGUUUAAGUGAACUGAGAAAUAUAAUCACUCACUUUUCCAGCAGUAAACUGUGACCUACCAGUCACAAAUCUUCUUCUGUGCGCCAUUUGAAAGAUUUGUUCAGGCUCAGUGGGUUCAGGUUCAGCUUGACACAAAAAGAGUCUAUCUUAAAAAACUAGGACCAUAUAAACAGUUCUACAAAGAAUGAAAAAGGUUAAGUUAUAAAGGACGACCAAUAAAAGGUAUCCUCUGCUA